RNAcentral lists this ribosomal RNA (352 nucleotides) under Anatololacerta danfordi (Danford's lizard). RNAcentral's name for it is "partial small subunit ribosomal RNA". Lineage: Eukaryota; Metazoa; Chordata; Lepidosauria; Squamata; Lacertidae. The record is from RNAcentral.
GAACUACAAGUGAAAAACUUCAAACUUAAAGGACUUGACGGUAUCCCAAACCGACCUAGAGGAGCCUGUCCUAUAAUCGAUACCCCCCGCUCCACCCAACCUCAACUAGCACAAUAUCAGCCUAUAUACCGCCGUCGACAGCCUACCCUAUGAAGGUCCAACAGUAGACAUAAUAGCCCCCCACUAACACGUCAGGUCAAGGUGUAGCAAAUGUUGAGGAAGAGAUUGGCUACAUUUUUUAUGAUAAAAAAAACGAAAAGUAUUAUGAAAUAAUACAUGAAGGUGAAUUUAGUAGUAAAAUAAACAAGAGUGUUUAUUUUAACACCGCUCUGGGAUGUGUACACACCGCCCG